RNAcentral lists this ribosomal RNA (250 nucleotides) under uncultured bacterium. Its description in RNAcentral is "partial 16S ribosomal RNA". It matches the Rfam family "Bacterial small subunit ribosomal RNA", at positions 355 to 596 of the family's 1533-position model. The record is from RNAcentral.
UGGGGAAUCUUGCGCAAUGGGCGAAAGCCUGACGCAGCGACGCCGCGUGGGUGAUGAAGGCCCUCGGGUUGUAAAGCCCUGUGGGGAGGAACGAACCGCUCGGGGGUGAAUACCCUCCGAGCUUGACGGUACCUCCUUAGCAAGCAUCGGCUAACUCUGUGCCAGCAGCCGCGGUAAGACAGAGGAUGCGAACGUUGCUCGGAAUUACUGGGCGUAAAGCGCGCGCAGGUUGCCCUGUAAGUCGUGUGUG